This 108-nucleotide ribosomal RNA is filed under the name Muribaculaceae bacterium. Lineage: Bacteria; Pseudomonadati; Bacteroidota; Bacteroidia; Bacteroidales; Muribaculaceae. The record is from RNAcentral.
UACGGUGAGGAUAGUAUACAGGGAUCACCUCUUCCCAUUCCGAACAGAGAAGUUAAGUCUGUAUACGCCAAUGGUACUGCAAAAGCGGAAGAGUAGGUAUCGCCAUGU